UACAUUCUUUUCUUUUGCCUCCCAUCUAAUGCUUAGGUCUGAAUGGUUUCCUUGAACUAUCUACUGUUGAUGGAAUGAACUUAUCCACCCAACAUCUCCACCAAACCAGUUCUGCAGAAGGUUCUGGCUCAUUGUGAUGAAGUUGGGAGCCCCACCAGAAUUGCUAAUUCACAAAACAUCCUGUGCCUUGAAGACGCUUUCAGACUGUCUGCCCAAGGGACAACAGUGGCGCUGAAUCAGAAUAUGGAGUCUGGCUUCCCCCGUCUUGCAAGAAGUAAAGAAUGCGUAGCAUGGCACCAUUGGAAGUGGGAGCCCAAGUUACUCAUGAGAGCAAUUUUGAAGUAAGACCUCCA
Talpa occidentalis (Iberian mole) is the source of this 353-nucleotide long non-coding RNA. RefSeq lists it as uncharacterized. The record is from RefSeq and is a predicted model, not a curated record. NCBI's taxonomy places the organism in Eukaryota, Metazoa, Chordata, Mammalia, Eulipotyphla, Talpidae. The transcript has 3 exons.